ACACAAACCCCGAGAAAGCAUUCCUGGAAAUCUCGGCCCAAAAAAGGACGUUUAGUAAUUCUAAAAGGGACUACAGGAUGAAAAACAAUAGUUUUGGCAGUUAAAGUUUGAGAUUCGAUAAUGCCGUAGAUCCGUUUGGUCAUCAGGUGUAACGAGCCACACCCAUGUCUGGUUAGAGUAGUGUGCUAGGCUCAGACUAGAUAAGAAACGGGGAACAAACUGAUGAAAGAAUGAUCAUACCGAGCGAAUUCACUCAGAACUAACAAGAAUGAUAACAUGCUCCGACUGGAGCGGUUUAGGAACUGCUGGAAGGCUCUAGGGGAAUAAAGAUGGAAUGACUUCUAAUUUUUAGGUCCGUAUGAUUUGAAAUACUUGCACACAAACCACGCGAAAGCGUUCCUGGAAAUCUCAGCCCAAAAAAGGACGUUUAGUAAUUCUAAAAGGGACUACAGGAUGAAAAACAAUAGUUUUGGCAGUUAAAGUUUGAGAUUCGACAGUGCCGUAGAUCCGUUUGGUCAUCAGGUAUUACGAGCCACACCCAUGUCUAGCUAGAAUAGUGUGCUAGGCUCAGGCUAGAGAAGAAACGGGGAACAAACUGAUGAAAGAAUGAUCAAACCGAGGGAAUUCACUCAGAACUAACAAUAAUGAUAACGUGCUCCGACUGGUGCGGUUUAGGAACUGCUGGAAGGCUCUAGGGGAAUAAAGAUGGAAUGACUUCUAAUUUUUAGGUCCGUAUGAUUUGAAAUACUUGCACACAAACCGCGCGAAAGCGUUCCUGGAAAUCUCAGCCCAAAAAAGGACGUUUAGUAAUUUUAAAAGGGACUAUAGGAUGAAAAACAAUAGUUUUGGCAAUUAAAGUUUGAGAUUCGACGGUGUCGUAGAUCCGUUUGGUCAUCAGGUGUUACGAGCCACACCCAUGUCUAGCUAGAAUAGUAUGUCAGGCUCAGGUUAGAGUAGAAACGGGGAACAAACUGAUGAAAGAAUGAUCAUACCAAGGGAAUUCACUCAGAACUAUCAAGAAUGAUAACGUGCUCCGACUGGAGUGAUUUAGGAACUGCUGGAAGGCUCUAGGGGAAUAAAGAUGGAAUGACUUCUAAUUUUUACGUCCGUAUGAUUUGAAAUACUUGCACACAAAUCACGCAAAAGCGUUCCUGGAAAUCUCAGCCUAAAAAAGGACGUUUAGUAAUUCUAAAAGGGACUACAGGAUGAAAAACAAUAGUUUGGGCAGUUAAAAUUUGAGAUUCGACGGUGCCGUAGAUCCGUUUGGUCAUCAGGUGUUACGAGCGACACCCUUGUCUAGCUAGAAUAGUGUGUUAGGCUCAGACUAGAGAAGAAACGGGGAACAAAGUGAUGAAAGAAUGAUCAUACCGAGGGAAUUCACUCAGAACUAACAAGAAUGAUAACGUGCUCCGACUGGAGCGGUUUAGUAACUGCUGGAAGGCUCUAGGGGAAUGAAGAUGGAAUGACUUCUAAUUUUUAGGUCCGUAUGAUUUGAAAUACAUGCACACAAACCCUGAGAAAGCGUUCCUGGAAAUCUCGGUCGAAAAAAGGAUGUUUAAUAAUUCUAAAAGGGACUACCGGAUGAAAAACAAUAGUUUUGGCAGUUAAAGUUUGUGAUUCGAUGGUGCCGUAGAUCUGUUUGGUCAUCAGGUGUUACGAGCCACACCCAUGUCUAUCUAGAAUAGUGUGUUAGGCUCAGGCUAGAGCAGAAACGGGGAACAGACUUAUGAAAGAAUGAUCAUACCGAGGGAAUUCACUCAGAACUAACAAGAAUGAUAACGUGCUCCGACUGGCGCGGUUUAGGAACUGCUGGAAGGCUCUAGGGGAAUAAAGAUGGAAAGACUUCUAAUUUUUAGGUCCGUAUGAUUUGAAAUACUUGCACACAAACCGCACGAAAGCGUUCCUGGAAAUCUCAGCCUAAAAAGGAUGUUUAGUAAUUCUAAAAGGGACUACAAGAUGAAAAAUAAUAGUUUGGGCAGUUAAAAUUUGAGAUUCGACGAUGCCGUAGAUCCGUUUGGUCAUCAGGUGUUAUGAGCCACACCCAUGUCUAGCUAGAAUAGUGUGUUAGGCUCAGGCUAGAGAAGAAACGGGGAACAAACUGAUGAAAGAAUGAUCAUACCGAGGGAAUUCACUCAGAACUAACAAGAAUGAUAACGUGCUCCGACUGGAGCAGUUUAGAAACUGCUGGAAGGCUCUAAUGGAAUAAAGAUGGAAUGCCUUCAAAUUUCUAGGUCCGUAUGAUUUGAAAUACUUGCACACAAACCGCUCGAAAGCGUUCCUGGAAAUCUCAGCCCAAAAAAGGACGUUUAGUAAUUCUAAAAGGGACUACAGGAUGAAAAACAAUAGUUUUGGCAGUUAAAGUUUGAGAUUCGAUGGUGCCGUAGAUCCGUUUGGUCAUCAGGUGUAACGAGCCACACACAUGUCUAGCUAGAGUAGUGUGCUAGGCUCAGACUAGAGAAGAAACGGGGAACAAAGUGAUGAAAGAAUGAUCAUACCGAGGGAAUUCACUCAGAACUUACAAGAAUGAUAACGUGCUCCGACUGGAGCGCUUUAGUAACUGCUGGAAGGCUCUAGGCGAAUAAAGAUGGAAUGACUUCUAAUUUUUAGGUCCGUAUGAUUUGAAAUACUUGCACACAAACCACGCAAAACCGUUCCUAGAAAUCUCGGUCGAAAAAAGGACGUUUAGUAAUUCUAAAAGGGACUACAGGAUGAAAAACAAUAGUUUUGGCAGUUAAAGUUUGAGAUUCGAUGGUGCCGUAGAUCCGUUUGGUCAUCAGGUGUUACGAGCCACACCCAUGUCUAGCUAGAGUAGUGUGCUAGGUUCAGACUAGAGAAGAAACGGGGAACAAAGUGAUUAAAGAAUGAUCAUACCGAGGGAAUUCACUCAGAACUAACAAGAAUGAUAACGUGCUCCGACUGGAGCGGUUUAGGAACUGCUGGAAGGCUCUAGGGGAAUAAAGAUGGAAUGACUUCUAAUUUUUACGUCCGUAUGAUUUGAAAUACAUGCACACAAACCACGCAAAAGCGUUCCUGGAAAUCUCAGCCUAAAAAAGGACGUUUAGUAAUUCUAAAAGGGACUACAGGAUGAAAAAUAAUAGUUUGGGCAGUUAAAAUUUGAGAUUCGACGCUGCCGUAGAUCCGUUUGGUCAUCAGGUCUUACGAGCCACACCCAUGUCUAGCUAGAAUAGUGUGUUAGGCUCAGGCUAGAGAAGAAACGGGGAACAAACUGAUGAAAGAAUGAUCAUACCGAGGGAAUUCACUCAGAACUAACAAGAAUGAUAACGUGCUCCGACUGGAGCAGUUUAGAAACUCCUGGAAGGCUCUAGGGGAAUAAAGAUGGAAUGACUUCAAAGUUUUAGGUCCGUAUGAUUUGAAAUACUUGCACACAAACCGCGUGAAAGCGUUCCUGGAAAUCUCAACCCAAAAAAGGGCGUUUAGUAAUUCUAAAAGGGACUACAGGAUGUAAAACAAUAGUUUUGGCAGUUAAAGUUUGAGAUUCGAUGGUGCCGUAGAUCCGUUUGGUCAUCAGGUGUAACGAGCCACACCCAUGUCUAGCUAGAGUAGUGUGCUAGGCUCAGACUAGAGAAGAAACGGGGAACAAAGUGAUGAAAGAAUGAUCAUACCGAGGGAAUUCACUCAUAACUAACAAGAAUGAUAACGUGCUCUGACUUGAGCGGUUUAGGAACUGCUGGAAGGCUAUAGGGGAAUAAAGAUGGAAUGACUUCAAAUUUUUAGGUCCGUAUGAUCUGAAAUACUUGCACACAAACCGCGAGAAAGCGUUCCUGGAAAUCUCAACCCAAAAAAGGACGUUUAGUAAUUCUAAAAGGGACUACAGGAUGAAAAACAAUAGUUCUGGCAGUUAUUGUUUGAGAUUCGAUAAUCUCGUAGAUCCGUUUGGUCAUCAGGUGUAACGAGCCACACCCAUGUCUAGCUAGAGUAGUGUGCUAGGCUCAGACUAGAGAAGAAACGGGGAACAAACUGAUGAAAGAAUGAUCAUACCGAGGGAAUUCACUUAGAACUAACAAGAAUGAUAACGUGCUCCGACUGGAGCGGUUUAGGAACUGCUGGAAGGCUCUAGGGGAAUAAAGAAGGAACGACUUCUAAUUUUUAGGUCCGUAUGAUUUGAAAUAUGUGCACACAAACCACGAGAAAGCGUUCCUAGAAAUCUCGGCCCAAAAGAGGACGUUUAGUAUUCUAAAAGGGACUACAGAAUGAAAAACAAUAGUUUUGGCAGUUAAAGUUUGAGAUUUGACGGUGCCGUAGAUCUGUUUGGUCAUCAGGGGUUACGAGCCACACCCAUGUCUAGCUAGAAUAGUGUGUUAGGCUCAGGCUAGAAAAGAAACGGGGAACAAAGUGAUGAAAGAAUGAUCAUACCGAGGGAAUUCACUCAGAACUAACAAGAAUGAUAACAUGCUCCGACUGGAGCGGUUUAGGAACUGCUGGAAGGCUCUAGGGGAAUAAAGAUGGAAUGACUUCUAAUUUUUAGGUCCGUAUGAUUUGAAAUACUUGCACACAAACCGCGCGAAAGCGUUCCUGGAAAUCUCAGCCCAAAAAAGGACGUUUAGUAAUUCUAAAAGGGACUACAGGAUGAAAAACAAUAGUUUUGGCAGUUAAAGUAUGAGAUUCAACGGUGCCGUAGAUCCGUUUGGUCAUUAGGUGUUACGAGCCACACCCAUGUCUAGCUAGAAUAGUGUGCUAGGCUCAGGCUAGAGAAGAAACGGGGAACAAACUGAUGAAAGAAUGAUCAAACCGAGGGAAUUCACUCAGAACUAACAAUAAUGAUAACGUGCUCCGACUGGAGCGGUUUAGGAACUGCUGGAAGUCUCUAGGGGAAUAAAGAUGGAAUGACUUCUAAUUUUUACGUUCGUAUGAUUUGAAAAACUUGCCCAUAAACCGCGCGAAAGUGUUCCUGGAAAUCUCAGCCCAAAAAAGGACGUUUAGUAAUUUUAAAAGGGACUACACGAUGAAAAACAAUAGUUUUGGCAGGUAAAGUUUGAGAUUCGACAGUGCCGUAGAUCCGUUUGGUCAUCAGGUGUUACGAGCCACACCCAUGUCUAGCUAGAAUAGUAUGUUACGCUCAGGUUAGAGAAGAAACGGGGAACAAACUGAUGAAAGAUGAUCAUACCAAGGGAAUUCACUCAGAACUAACAAGAAUGAUAACGUGCUCCGACUGGAGCGGUUUAGGAACUGCUGGAAGGCUCUAGGGGAAUAAAGAUGGAAUGACUUCUAAUUUUUACGUCUGUAUGAUUUGAAAUACUUGCACACAAACAACGCAAAAGCAUUCCUGGAAAUCUCAUCCUAAAAAAGGACGUUUAGUAAUUCUAAAAGGGACUACAGGAUGAAAAAUAAUAGUUUGGGAAGUUAAAAUUUGAGAUUCGAUAGUGCCGUAGAUCCGUUUGGUCAUCAGGUGUUAGGAGCCACACCCAUGUCUAGCUAGAAUAGUGUGUUAGGCUCAGGCUAGAGAAGAAACAGGGAACAAACUGAUGAAAGAAUGAUCAUACCGAGGGAAUUCACUCAGAACUAGCAAGAAUGAUAACGUGCUCCGACUGGAGCAGUUUUGAAACUGCUGGAAGGCUCUAGGGGAAUAAUGAUGGAAUGACUUCUAAGUUUUUGGUCCGUAUGAUUUGAAAUACGUGCACACAAACCCAGAGAAAGUGUUCUUGGAAAUCUCGGCCGAAAAAAGGAUGUUUAAUAAUUCUAAAAGGGACUACAGGAUGAAAAACAAUAGUUUUGGCAGUUAAAGUUUGUGAUUCGAUGGUGCUGUAGAUCUGUUUGGUCAUCAGGUGUUAUGAGCCACACCCAUGUCUAGCUAGAACAGUGUGUUAGGCUCAGGCUAGAGCAGAAACGGGGAACAAACUUAUGAAAGAAUGAUCAUACCGAGGGAAUUCACUCAGAACUAACAAGAAUGAUAACGUGCUCCGACUGGAGAGGUUUAGGAACUGCUGGAAGGCUCUAGGGGAAUAAAGAUGGAAUGACUUCAAAUUUUUAGGUCUGUAUGAUCUGAAAUACUUGCACACAAACCGCGAGAAAGCGUUCCUGGAAAUCUCAGCCCAAAAAAGGACGUUUAGUGAUUCUAAAAGGGACUACGGGAUAAAAAACAAUAGUUUUGGCAGUUAAAGUUUGAGAUUCGAUAAUGCCGUAGAUCCGUUUGGUCAUCAGGUGUAACGAGCCACACCCAUGUCUAGCUAGAGUAGUGUGCUAGGCUCAUACUAGAGAAGAAAUGGGGAACAAACUGAUGAAAGAAUGAUCAUACCGAGGGAGUUCACUCAAAACUAACAUGAAUGAUAACGUGCUCCGACUGGAGCGGUUUAGGAACUGCUGGAAGGCUCUAGGGGAAUAAAGAUGGAAUGACUUCUAAUUUUUAGGUCCGUAUGAUUUGAAAUACAUGCACACAAACCCCAAGAAAGCGUUCCUGGAAAUCUCGCCCCGAAAAACGACGUUUAGUAAUUCUAAAAGGGACUAUAGGAUGAAAAACAAUAGUUUUGGCAGUUAAAGUUUGAGAUUUGACGGUGCCGUAGAUCUGUUUGGUCAUCAGGUGUUACGAGCCACACCCAUUUCUAGCUAGAAUAGUGUGUUAGGCUCAGGCUAGAAAAGAAACGGGGAACAAAGUGAUGAAAGAAUGAUCAUACCGAGGGAAUUCACUCAGAACUAACAAGAAUGAUAACAUGGUCCGACUGGAGCGGUUUAGGAACUGCUGGAAGGCUCUAGGGGAAUAAAGAUGGAAUGACUUCUAACUUUUAGGUCCGUAUGAUUUGAAUUACUUGCACACAAACCGCGCGAAAGCGUUCCUGGAAAUCUCAGCCCAAAAAAGGACGUUUAGUAAUUCUAAAAGGGACUACAGGAUGAAAAACAAUAGUUUUGGCAGUUAAAGUUUGAGAUUCGACGGUGCCGUAGAUCCGUUUGGUCAGCAGGUGUUACGAGCCACACCCAUGUCUAGCUAGAGUAGUGUGCUAGGUUCAGACUAGAGAAGAAAUGUUGGGGAACGUAGCAGAAAUUCAAAAUUUUCCUACGUGUCACCAAGAUCUAUCUAUGGAGAGACUAGCAACGAGGGAAGGAGAGUGCAUCUACAUACCCUUGUAGAUCGCUAAGCGGAAGCGUUCAAGUGAACGGGGUUGAUGGAGUCGUACUCGUCGUGAUUCAGCUCACCGAUGAUCCUAGUGCCGAACGGACGGCACCUCCGCGUUCAACACACGUACAGCUCGACGAUGUCUCCCACGCCUUGAUCCAGCAAGGAGAGAGGGAGAGGUUGAGGAAGACUCCAUCCAGCAGAAGCACAACGGCGUGGUGGUGAUGGAGGAGCAUGGCAAUCCUGCAGGGCUUCGCCAAGCACCUAUGGGAGAGGAGGAGGUGUCACGGGAGGGAGGGAGGCGCCAAGGGCUCAGGUAUAGAUGCCCUCCCUCCCCUCCACUAUAUAUAGGGGCAAGGGAGAGGGGGGAGGCGCAGCCUUGCCCCUUCCUCCAAGGAAGGGGUGCGGCUAAGAGGGGGGGAGGAGUCCAUCCUCCCCAAGGCACCUCGGAGGUGCCUUCCCCCUUUAGGACUCUCCCCUUUUUCCUAUAUCUUGGCGCAUGGGCCUCUAGGGGCUGGUUCCCUUGGCCCAUGUAGGCCCAGGCGCACCCCCUACAGCCCAUGUGGCCCCCCGGGGCAGGUGGCCCCACCUGGUGGGCCCCCGGGACCCUUCCGGUGGUCCCGGUACAAUACCGAUGACCCCGAAACUUGUCCCGAUGGCCGAAACAGGACUUCCUAUAUAUAAAUCUUUACCUCCGGACAAUUCCGGAACUCCUCGUGACGUCCGGGAUCUCAUCCGGGACUCCGAACAACAUUCGGUAACCACAUACAAACUUCCUUUAUAACCCUAGCGUCAUCGAACCUUAAGUGUGUAGACCCUACGGGUUCGGGAGACAUGUAGUCAUGACCGAGAUGUUCUCCGGUCAAUAACCAACAGCGGGAUCUGGAUACCCAUGUUGGCUCCCACAUGUUCCACGAUGAUCUCAUCGGAUGAACCACGAUGUCAAGGACUCAAUCAAUCCCGUAUACAAUUCCCUUUGUCUAGCGGUAUGGUACUUGCCCGAGAUUCGAUCGUCGGUAUACCGAUACCUUGUUCAAUCUCGUUACCGGCAAGUCUCUUUACUCAUUUCGUAACACAUCAUCCCGUGAUCAACCCCUUGGUCACAUUGUGCACAUUAUGAUGAUGUCCUACCGAGUGGGCCCAGAGAUACCUCUCCGUUUACACGGAGUGACAAAAUCCCAAUCUCGAUUCGUGCCAACCCAACAGACACUUUCAGAGAUACCCGUAGUGUACCUUUACAGCCACCCAGUUACGUUGUGACGUUUGGCACACCCAAAGCACUCCUACAGUAUCCGGGAGUUGCACAAUCUCAUGGUCUAAGGAAAUGAUACUUGACAUUAGAAAAGCUUUAGCAUACGAACUACAUGAUCUUGUGCUAGGCUUAGGAUUGGGUCUUGUCCAUCACAUCAUUCUCCUAAUGAUGUGAUCCCGUUAUCAACGACAUCCAAUGUCCAUGGUCAGGAAACCGUAACCAUCUAUUGAUUAACGAGCUAGUCAACUAGAGGCUUACUAGGGACAUGGUGUUGUCUAUGUAUCCACACAUGUAUCUAAGUUUCCUAUCAAUACAAUUCUAGCAUGGAUAAUAAACGAUUAUCAUGAACAAGGAAAUAUAAUAAUAAUCAAUUUAUUAUUGCCUCUAGGGCAUAUUUCCAACAGUCUCCCACUUGCACUAGAGUCAAUAAUCUAGUUCACAUCGAUAUGUGAUUAACACUCAAGGUCACAUUCCCAUGUGACUAACACCCAAGAGUUUACUAGAGUCAAUAAUCUAGUUCACAUUUACCAUGUGAUUAACACUUGAUGAGUUCUGGGUUUGAUCAUGUUAUGCUUGUGAGAGAGGUUAUAGUCAACGGGUCUGAACCUUUCAGAUCCGUGUGUGCUUUACAAAUCUCUAUGUCAUCUCCUAGAUGCAGCUACCACGUUCUAUUUGGAGCUAUUCCAAAUAACUGUUCUACUUGGAGCUAUUCUAAAUUGUUGCUCCAUUAUACGUAUCCGGUAUCUCUACUCAGAGCUAUCCGGAUAGGUGUUAAGCUUGCAUCGACGUAACCCUUUACGACGAACUCUUUUACCACCUCCAUAAUUGAGAAAAUUCCUUAGUCCACUAGUUACUAAGGAUAACUUUGACCGCUGUCCUGUGAUCCAUUCUUGGAUCACUCUUGUACCCCUUGACUGACUCAUGGUAAAGCACACUUCAGGUGCGGUACACAGCAUAGCAUACUGUAGAGCCUAUGUCUUAAGCAUAGGGGACGACCUUCGUUCCUUUCUCUCUAUUCUGCCAUGGUCGAGCUUUAAGUCUUAACUUCAUACCUUACAACUCAGGCAAGAACUCCUUCUUUGACUGAUCCAUCUUGAACACCUUCAAGAUCACGUCAAGGCAUGUGCUCACGUCAAGAUCACGUCGGUAUACCGAUACCUUGUUCAAUCUCGUUACCGGCAAGUCUCUUUACUCGUUCCGUAACACAUCAUCCCGUGAUCAACCCCUUGGUCACAUUGUGCACAUUAUGAUGAUGUCCUACCGAGUGGGCCCAGAGAUACCUCUCCGUUUACACGGAGUGACAAAAUCCCAAUCUCGAUUCGUGCCAACCCAACAGACACUUUCAGAGAUACCCGUAGUGUACCUUUAUAGCCACCCAGUUACGUUGUGACGUUUGGCACACCCAAAGCACUCCUACGGUAUCCGGGAGUUGCACAAUCUCAUGGUCUAAGGAAAUGAUACUUGACAUUAGAAAAGCUUUAGCAUACGAACUACAUGAUCUUGUGCUAGGCUUAGGAUUGGGUCUUGUCCAUCACAUCAUUCUCCUAAUGAUGUGAUCCCGUUAUCAACGACAUCCAAUGUCCAUGGUCAGGAAACCGUAACCAUCUAUUGAUUAACGAGCCAGUCAACUAGAGGCUUACUAGGGACAUGGUGUUGUCUAUGUAUCCACACAUGUAUCUGAGUUUCCUAUCAAUACAAUUCUAGCAUGGAUAAUAAACGAUUAUCAUGAACAAGGAAAUAUAAUAAUAAUCAAUUUAUUAUUGCCUCUAGGGCAUAUUUCCAACAGUCUCCCACUUGCACUAGAGUCAAUAAUCUAGUUCACAUCACCAUGUGAUUAACACUGACAGGUCACAUCACCAUGUGACCAACAUCCAAAGAGUCUUGGGUUUGAUCAUGUUGCUUGUGAGAGAGGUUAUAGUCAACGGGUCUGAACCUUUCAGAUCCGUGUGUGCUUUACAAAUCUCUAUGUCAUCUCCUAGAUGCAGCUACCACGUUCUAUUUGGAGCUAUUCCAAAUAACUGUUCUACUUGGAGCUAUUCUAAAUUGUUGCUCCAUUAUACGUAUCCGGUAUCUCUACUCAGAGCUAUCCGGAUAGGUGUUAAGCUUGCAUCGACGUAACCCUUUACGACGAACUCUUUUACCACCUCCAUAAUUGAGAAAAUUCCUUAGUCCACUAGUUACUAAGGAUAACUUUGACCGCUGUCCUGCGAUCCAUUCUUGGAUCACCCUUGUACCCCUUGACUGACUCAUGGUAAAGCACACUUCAGGUGCGGUACACAGCAUAGCAUACUGUAGAGCCUAUGUCUUAAGCAUAGGGGAUGACCUUCGUUCCUUUCUCUCUAUUCUGCCAUGGUCGAGCUUUAAGUCUUAACUUCAUACCUUACAACUCAGGCAAGAACUCCUUCUUUGACUGGUCCAUCUUGAACACCUUCAAGAUCAUGUCAAGGUAUGUGCUCAUUUGAAAGUACUAUUAAGCGUUUUGAUCUAUCCUUAUAGAUCUUGAUGCUCAAUGUUCAAGUAGCUUAAUCCAGGUUUUCCAUUGAAAACACUUUCCAAAUAACCCUAUAUGCUUUCCAGAAAUUCUACGUCAUUUCUGAUCAUUAAUAUGUCAACAACAUAUAAUCAUCAGAAAUUCUAUAGUGCUCCCACUCACUUCUUUGGAAAUACAAGUUUCUCAUAAACUUUGUAUACACCCAAAAUCUUUGAUCAUCAUCAAAGCAUACAUUCCAACUCCGAGAUGCUCACUCCAGUCCUCAGAAGGAUUGCUGGAGCUUUGCAUACUUAUUAGCAUAUUUCAGGAUAGACAAAACCUUCCAGUUGUAUCACAUACAACCUUUCCUCAAGAAUCGUCGACGAAACAAUGUUUUGACAUCCUAUCUGCAAGAUUUCAUAAAUAAUGCAGUAAUUGUUAAUAUAAUUCCAACAGACUCUUAGCAUCGCUACGAGUGAGAAAGUCUCAUUGUAGUCAACUCCUUGAACUUGUCAAAAAACAUCUUAACGACAAGUCGAGCUUUCUCAAUGGUGACACUUACCAUCAUUGUCUGUCUUCCUUUCAAAAUCCAUAUGUACCUAACAGCCUUACGACCAUCAAGUAGUUCUUCCAAAGUCUACACUUUGUUUUCAUACAUGGAUCCUCUCUCGGGUUUUAUGGCCAUGAGCCAUUUAUCGGAAUCCGGGCCCACCAUUGCUUCUCCAUAGCUCGUAGGUUCAUUGUUGUCUAGCAACAUGACUUCCAAGACAGGAUUACUGUACCACUCUGAAGUAGUACGUAUCCUUGUCACCCUACGAGGUUUGGGAGUGACUUGAUCUGAAGUUUCAUGAUCACUAUCAUAAGCUUCUACUUCAAUUGGUGUAGGUGCCACAGGAACAACUUCCUGUGCCCUGCUACACACUGGUUGAAGUGAUGGUUCAAUAACCUCAUCAAGUCUCCACCAUCCUCCCACUCAAUUCUUUCGAGAGAAACCUUUCCUCGAGAAAGGACCCAAUUCUAGAAACAAUUCAUAUUGCUUUCGGAUCUGAAUUAGGAAGUAUACCCAACUGUUUUGGGUGUCCUAUGAAGAUGUACUUUAUCCGCUUUGGUUUCGAGCUUAAUCCUGAAACUUUUUCACAUAAGUGUCGCAGCCCCAAACCUUUAAGAAACGACAACUUAGGUUUCUCUAAACCAUAAUUCAUACGGUGUCAUCUCAUCGGAAUUACGUGGUGCCCUAUUUAAAGUGAAUGUGGUUGUCUUUAAUGCCUAACCCAUAAACUAUCGUGGCAGUUCGAUAAGAGACAUCAUGGUAUGCAUCAUAUCCAAUAGGGUGCAACUAUGAUGUUCGGACACACCAUCACACUAUGGUGUUCCAGGCGGUAUUAAUUGUGAAACAAUUUCCACAAUGUCUUAAUUGUGUGCCAAAACUCGUAACUCAGAUACUCAUCUCUAUGAUCAUAUCAUAGACAUUUUAUCCUCUUGUCACAAUGAUCUUCUACUUCACUCUGAAAUUACUUGAACCAUUCAACAAUUCAGACUUGUGUUUCAUCAAGUAAAUAUUCUCAACAUCUACUCGAAUCAUCUGUGAAGUAAGAACAUAACGAUAUUCACUGCAUGCCUCAGCACUCAUUGGACUGCACACAUCAAAAUGUGUUACUUCCAACAAGUUGCUAUCUUGUUCCAUCUUACUGAAAACGAGGCUUUUCAGUCAUCUUGCCCAUGUGGUAUGAUUUGCAUGUCCCAAGUGAUUCAAAAAUCAAGUGAGUCAAAACGGUCCAUUUGCAUGGAGUUUCUUCAUGCAUAUACACCAAUAGACAUGGUUCGCAUGUCUCAAACUUUUCAAAAACGAGUGAGCCCAAAGAUCCAUCAAUAUGGAGCUUCUUCAUGCGUUUUAUACCGAUAUGACUUACGUGGUAGUGCCACAAGUAGGUGGUACUAUCAUUACUAUCUUUUGGCAUGAACAUGUGUAUCACUACGAUCGAGAUUUAAUAAACCAUUCAUUUUAGGUGUAAGACCAUUGAAGGUAUUAUUCAAAUAAACAGAGUAACCAUUAUUCUCCUUAAAUGAAUAACCGUAUUGCGAUAGACGUAAUCCAAUCAUGUCUAUGCUCAACGCAAACACCAAAUAACAAUUAUUUAGGUUUAACACCAAUCUCUUUGGUAGAGGGAGCGUGCGAUGCUUGAUCAUAUCAAGCAUGGAAAAACUUACAACACAUAUCGUCAGCUCACCUUUAGCUAGUCUCUGUUUAUUCCGUAGCCUUUUGUUUCGAGUUACUAACACUUAGCAACCGAACUGGUAUCUAAUACCCUGGUGCUACUAGGAGUACUAGCAAAGUACACAUUAACACAAUGUAUAUCCAAUAUACUUCUAUCGACCUUGCCAGCCUUCUUAUCUACCAAGUAUCUAGGGUAAUUCUGCUCUAGUAGUUGUUCCCCUUAUUACAGAAGCACUUAGUCUCGGGUUUGGGUUUUACCUUGGGUUUCUUCACUAGAGCAGCAGCUGAUUUGCCGUUUCAUGAAGUAUCCCUUCUUGCCCUUGCCCUUCUUGAAACUAGUGGUUCCACCAACCAUCAACAAUUGAUGCUCCUUCUUGAUUUCUACUUUCGCGGUGUCAAACAUCGCGAAUACCUCAAGGAUCAUCAUAUCUAUCCCUGAUAUGUUAUAGUUCAUCAUGAAGCUCUAACAGCUUGGUGGCAAUGACUUUGGAGAACCAUCACUAUCUCAUCUGGAAGAUCAACUCCCACUCGAUUCAAGCGAUUGUUGUACUCAGACAAUCUGAGCACAAGCUCAACGAUUGAGCUUUUCUCCCUUAGUUUGCAGGUUAAGAAAGUCAUCGGAGGUCUUAUACCUCUUGACAUGGGCACGAGCCUGAAAUCCCAAUUUCAGCCCUCAAAACAUCUCAUAUGUUUCGCGAUGUUUCAAAAACGUCUUUGGUGCCUCAACUCUAAACCGUUUAACUGAACUAUCACGUAGUUAUCAAAACGUGUAUGUCAGAUGUUCGCAACAACCACAGACAACGUUCGAGGUUCAGCACACUGAGCGGUGCAUUAAGGACAUAAGCCUUCUAUGAAGCAAUGAGGACAAUCCUCAGUUUACGGACCUAGUCCGCAUAAUUGCUACUAUCAACUUUCAACUAAUUUUUCUCUAGGAACAUAUCUAAACAGUAGAACUAUAGCGUGAGCUACGACAUAAUUUGCAAAAACCUUUUGACUAUGUUCAGGAUAAUUAAGUUCAUCUUAUGAACUCCCACUCAGAUAGACAUCCCUCUAGUCAUCUAAGUGAUUACAUGAUCCGAGUCAAACUAGGCCGUGUCCGAUCAUCACGUGAGACGGACUAGUCAUCAUCGGUGAACAUCUUCAUGUUGAUCGUAUCUUCUAUACGACUCAUGUUCGACCUUUCGGUCUUCGUGUUCCGAGGCCAUGUAUGUACAUGCUAGGCUCGUCAAGUUAACCCUAAGUGUUUCGCGUGUGUAAAUCUGUCUUACACCCGUUGUAUGUGAACGUUAGAAUCUAACACCCGAUCAUCACGUGGUGCUUCGAAACACGAACUGUCGCAACGGUGCACAGUUAGGGGAGAACACUUCUUGAAAUUGUUGUAAGGGAUCAUCUUAUUUACUACCGUCGUUCUAAGCAAAUAAGAUGUAUAAACAUGAUAAACAUCACAUGCAAUCAAAUAGUGACAUGAUAUGGCCAUCAUCACUUUGCUCCUUUUGAUCUCCAUCUUCGGGGCUCCAUGAUCAUCAUCGUCACCGGCAUGACACCAUGAUCUCCAUCAUCAUGAUCUCCAUCAUCGUGUCUUCAUGAAGUUGCCUCGCCAACUAUUACUUCUACUACUAUGGCUAACGGUUAGCAAUAAAGUAAAGUAAUUACAUGACGUUUAAGUUGACACGCAGGUCACAAAUGAAUAAAGACAACUCCUAUGGCUCCUGCCGGUUGUCAUACUCAUCGACAUGCAAGUCGUGAUUCCUAUUACAAGAACAUGAUCAAUCUCAUACAUCACAUAUAUCAUUCAUCACAUCCUUUUUGGCCAUAUCACAUCACAUAGCAUACCCUGCAAAAACAAGUUAGACGUCCUCUAAUUGUUGUUUGCAUGUUUUACGUGGCUGCUAUGGGUUUCUAGCAAGAACGUUUCUUACCUACGCAUGAACAACAACGUGAUAUGCCAAUUGCUAUUUACCCUUCAUAAGGACCCUUUUCAUCGAAUCCGAUCCGACUAAAGUGGGAGAGACAGACACCCGCCAGCCACCUUAUGCAACUAGUGCAUGUUUGUCGGUGGAACCGGUCUCACGUAAGCGUACGUGUAAGGUUGGUCCGGGCCGCUUCAUCCCACGAUGCCGCCGAAUCAAGAUAAGACUAGUAACGGCAAGCAUAUUGAACAAUAUCAACGCCCACAACUACUUUGUGUUCUACUCGUGCAAAGAAUCUACGCAAUAGACCUAGCUCAUGAUGCCACUGUUGGGGAACGUAGCAGAAAUUCAAAAUUUUCCUACGUGUCACCAAGAUCUAUCUAUGGAGAUACUAGCAACGAGGGAAGGAGAGUGCAUCUACAUACCCUUGUAGAUCGCUAAGCGGAAGCGUUCAAGUGAACGGGGUUGAUGGAGUCGUACUCGUCGUGAUUCAGAUCACCGAUGAUCCUAGUGCCGAACGGACGGCACCUCCGCGUUCAACACACGUACAGCUCGACGAUGUCUCCCACGCCUUGAUCCAGCAAGGAGAGAGGGAGAGGUUGAGGAAGACUCCAUCCAGCAGCAGCACAACGGCGUGGUGGUGAUGGAGGAGCGUGGCAAUCCUGCAGGGCUUCGCCAAGCACCUACGGGAGAGGAGGAGGUGUCACGGGAGGGAGGGAGGCGCCAAGGGCUCAGGUAUAGAUGCCCUCCCUCCCCUCCACUAUAUAUAGGGGCAAGGGAGAGGGGGAGGCGCAUCCUUGCCCCUUCCUCCAAGGAAGGGGUGCGGCUAAGAGGGGGGGAGGAGUCCAUCCUCCCCAAGGCACCUCGGAGGUGCCUUCCCCCUUUAGGACUCUCCCCUUUUUCCUAUAUCUUGGCGCAUGGGCCUCUAGGGGCUGGUGCCCUUGGCCCAUGUAGGCCAAGGCGCACCCCCCUACAGCCCAUGUGGCCCCCCGGGGCAGGUGGCCCCACCCGGUGGGCCCCCGGGACCCUUCCGGUGGUCCCGGUACAAUACCGAUGACCCCGAAACUUGUCCCGAUGGCCGAAACAGGACUUCCUAUAUAUAAAUCUUUACCUCCGGACCAUUCCGGAACUCCUCGUGACGUCCGGGAUCUCAUCCGGGACUCCGAACAACAUUCGGUAACCACAUACAAACUUCCUUUAUAACCCUAGCGUCAUCGAACCUUAAGUGUGUAGACCCUACGGGUUCGGGAGACAUGUAGUCAUGACCGAGAUGUUCUCCGGUCAAUAACCAACAGCGGGAUCUGGAUACCCAUGUUGGCUCGCACAUGUUCCACGAUGAUCUCAUCGGAUGAACCACGAUGUCAAGGACUCAAUCAAUCCCGUAUACAAUUCCCUUUGUCUAGCGGUAUGGUACUUGCCCGAGAUUCGAUCGUCGGUAUACCGAUACCUUGUUCAAUCUCGUUACCGGCAAGCCUCUUUACUCGUUCCGUAACACAUCAUCCCGUGAUCAACCCCUUGGUCACAUUGUGCACAUUAUGAUGAUGUCCUACCGAGUGGGCCCAGAGAUACCUCUCCGUUUACACGGAGUGACAAAAUCCCAAUCUCGAUUCGUGCCAACCCAACAGACACUUUCAGAGAUACCCGUAGUGUACCUUUAUAGCCACCCAGUUACGUUGUGACGUUUGGCACACCCAAAGCACUCCUACGGUAUCCGGGAGUUGCACAAUCUCAUGGUCUAAGGAAAUGAUACUUGACAUUAGAAAAGCUUUAGCAUACGAACUACAUGAUCUUGUGCUAGGCUUAGNNNNNNNNNNUGAUCAACCCCUUGGUCACAUUGUGCACAUUAUGAUGAUGUCCUACCGAGUGGGCCCAGAGAUACCUCUCCGUUUACACGGAGUGACAAAAUCCCAAUCUCGAUUCGUGCCAACCCAACAGACAUUUUCAGAGAUACCCGUAGUGUACCUUUAUAGCCACCCAGUUACGUUGUGACGUUUGGCACACCCAAAGCACUCCUACGGUAUCCGGGAGUUGCACAAUCUCAUGGUCUAAGGAAAUGAUACUUGACAUUAGAAAAGCUUUAGCAUACGAACUACAUGAUCUUGUGCUAGGCUUAGGAUUGGGUCUUGUCCAUCACAUCAUUCUCCUAAUGAUGUGAUCCCGUUAUCAACGACAUCCAAUGUCCAUGGUCAGGAAACCGUAACCAUCUAUUGAUUAACGAGCUAGUCAACUAGAGGCUUACUAGGGACAUGGUGUUGUCUAUGUAUCCACACAUGUAUCUGAGUUUCCUAUCAAUACAAUUCUAGCAUGGAUAAUAAACGAUUAUCAUGAACAAGGAAAUAUAAUAAUAAUCAAUUUAUUAUUGCCUCUAGGGCAUAUUUCCAACAAGAAACGGGGAACAAACUGAUGAAAGAAUGAUCAUACCGAGGGAAUUCACUCAGAACUAACAAGAAUGAUAACGUGCUUUGACUGGAGCGGUUUAAAAACUGCUGGAAGGCUCUAGGGGAAUAAAGAUGGAAUGCCUUCAAAUUUCUAGGUCCGUAUGAUUUGAAAUACUUGCACACAAACCGCGCGAAAGCGUUCCUGGAAAUCUCAGCCCAAAAAAGGACGUUUAGUAAUUCUAAAAGGGACUACAGAAUGAAAAACAAUAGUUUUGGCAGUUAAAGUUUGAGAUUCGAUGGUGCCGUAGAUCCGUUUGGUCAUCAGGUGUAACGAGCCACACCCAUGUCUAGCUAGAGUAGUGUGCUAGGCUCAGGCUAGAGAAGAAACGGGGAACAAACUGAUGAAAGAAUGAUCAUACCGAGGGAAUUCACUCAGAACUAACAAGAAUGAUAACGUGCUCCGACUGGAGCGGUUUAGGAACUGCUGGAAGGCUCUAGGGGAAGAAAGAAGGAAUGACUUCUAAUUUUUAGGUCCGUAUGAUUUGAAAUACGUGCACACAAACCGCGCGAAAGCGUUCCUGGAAAUCUCAGCCCAAAAAAGGACGUUUAGUAUUCUAAAAGGGACUACAGAAUGAAAAACAAUAGUUUUGGCAGUUAAAGUUUGAGAUUCGACGGUGCCGUAGAUCCGUUUGGUCAUCAGGUGUUACGAGCCACACCCAUGUCUAGCUAGAAUAGUGUGCNNNNNNNNNNNNNNNNNNNNNNNNNCGUAUGAUUUGAAAUACGUGCACACAAACCGCGCGAAAGCGUUCCUGGAAAUCUCAGCCCAAAAAAGGACGUUUAGUAUUCUAAAAGGGACUACAGAAUGAAAAACAAUAGUUUUGGCAGUUAAAGUUUGAGAUUCGACGGUGCUGUAGAUCCGUUUGGUCAUCAGGUGUUACGAGCCACACCCAUGUCUAGCUAGAAUAGUGUGCUAGGCUCAGGCUAGAGAAGAAAAGGGGAACAAACUAAUGAAAGAAUGAUCAAUACGAGGGAAUUCACUCAGAACUAACAAUAAUGAUAACGUGCUCCGACUGGAGCGGUUUAGGAACUGCUGGAAGGCUCUAGGCGAAUAAAGAUGGAAUGACUUCUAAUUUUUACGUCCGUAUGAUUUGAAAUACUUGCACACAAACCACGCAAAAGCGUUCCUGGAAAUCUCGGCCUAAAAAGGACGUUUAGUAAUUCUAAAAGGGACUACAGGAUGAAAAAUAAUAGUUUGGGCAGUUAAAAUUUGAGAUUCGACGGUGCCGUAGAUCCGUUUGGUCAUCAGGUGUUACGAGCCACACCCAUGUCUAGCUAGAAUAGUGUGUUAGGCUCAGGCUAGAGAAGAAACGAGGAACAAACUGAUGAAAGAAUGAUCAUACCAAGGGAAUUCACUCAGAACUAACAAGAAUGAUAACGUGCUCCGACUGGAGCAGUUUAGAAACUGCUGGAAGGCUCUAGGGGAAUAAAGAUGGAAUGACUUCUGAUUUUUAGGUCCGUAUGAUUUGAAAUACGUGCACACAAACCCCGCGAAAGCGUUCCUGGAAAUCUCAGCCCAAAAAAGGACGUUUAGUAAUUCUAAAAGGGACUACAACAUGAAAAACAAUAGUUUUGGCAGUUAAAGUUUGAGAUUUCAUGGUGCCGUAGAUCUGUUUGGUCAUCAGGUGUUACGAGCCACACCCAUGUCUAGCUAGAAUAGUGUGUUAGGCUCAGGCUAGAAAAGAAACGGGAAACAAAGUGAUGAAAGAAUGACCAUACCGAGGGAAUUCACUCAGAACUAACAAGAAUGAUAACAUGCUCCGACUUGAGCGGUUUAGGAACUGCUGGAAGGCUCUAGGGGAAUAAAGAUGGAAUGACUUCUAAUGUUUAGGUCCGUAUGAUUUGAAAUACUUGCACAUAAACCGCACAAAAGCGUUCCUGGAAAUCUCAGCCCAAAAAAGGACGUUUAGUAAUUCUAAAAGGGACUACAGGAUGAAAAACAAUAGUUUUGGCAGUUAAAGUUUGAGAUUCGACGGUGCCGUAGAUCCGUUUGGUCAUCAGGUGUUACGAGCCACACCCAUGUCUAGCUAGAAUAGUGUGUUAGGCUCAGGCUAGAGAAGAAAC
This 19412-nucleotide long non-coding RNA is filed under the name Triticum aestivum (bread wheat). RNAcentral's name for it is "long non-coding RNA (TAES_LNC019905)". Lineage: Eukaryota; Viridiplantae; Streptophyta; Magnoliopsida; Poales; Poaceae. The record is from RNAcentral.